AUGUGCAGUAUUUGUUUCAAUAACACUUUCCAAUAUCCAAAAAGGAAUAUUCUUAUACUUCUGUACUUAGAAAAUACCUUUCUGGGUCCUCCUGUAAGAACCCGUCACAUGUUCUGUGACUUACACAAUUUUCAUUCCUCGUGUCUCUCCAGGGACGCCACAUUUAUGACUGCAUUUUCAAGCUGCAUUUCUCUGUCAGUCUUUUCACAGGCAUUCUGGAAAAAAGACUGCAUUUCAACUCCAAGACUUAAUCUGCUCAACAGGUUUAAGAUCUAUCUUUUAGAUGCAGCAAGACCACAAACACUGCACCUGACAGCUAUGAGCUGGACCAGCAUCUAAUCAGCUGAGCAGCGCCGGGCAUGAAAGAAUCUUCCUGAAGAGAAAAGAGUGUUACAACAAAGCUGCACUGACUGAGAUGAUUGCAGCAGGAAGAAAAGAAUGGGACUGAUGGAUCUGUUUCUAGCUGACCCAAACCUGAAUAGCAGUGAAAGAGGUUGGUGAUUAGGAAUGAAAUCCACUCACUGAUAGUUUUCUCUACAACCCUUGAACCAAACGGAGAUAAGAGAGCCUGUCAUGAAACGAGCCGUUGCUCCUAAUUAGGUUCUGCUAUUUAAUAGGGGGAGGCUGACAUGUUGUUUUUUAGGUUCCUUCUGUAAAAUUAACAAAAGAAGUGAUGCAAAAGCAGUGGUGUCUGCUGAAAAACCAACAUGCCCUUCAUUAGAAUGAAAAAUUUAAGAACUUUUGUUUUUCUGAACAAAGAAAUAUUCAGAUAUGGACUUCUAAGCCUAAUGUUCUUUAUAAAUGUCCUCCAUCGUGAGAAAAAUGCCACGAGUUCAAGUUAAAAACACCAUAAACACAUUUUUCAUGGGACUGUGCAUUUAACACAUCAACAUUUGUUCCAAUUCGAGGCAUUCCUUUCUACUACCAGCAUUUGUUGCUGCUUUAGGGUCUUGUUUUUUUGCUUCUGACCCCCUGUAGCAGGACCUUGUGUGCAUGACUCCAGAGACGGUGAUCAGUAGCUGUGAAUAGUCAGACUUCUACAGCACGUUUAUACAUUUUGUCUUUUAAC
RNAcentral lists this long non-coding RNA (1069 nucleotides) under Oryzias sinensis (Chinese medaka). RNAcentral describes it as "lncRNA (ENSOSIG00000022230.1)". The record is from RNAcentral. Lineage: Eukaryota; Metazoa; Chordata; Actinopteri; Beloniformes; Adrianichthyidae.